UUCCACAAAUCGCGAACCUGAAACUGUAAAGUUAGAAGGUUGUGCCACAAACCGCGAACCUGAAAAUGUAGAAUUAGAAUGUGCCACAAAUCAUGCACCUGAAACUUUGAACACAGAGGAAACGGAGUGUGGUGAGAAGGAGCCGAAGAAGUUGGAUAAUUGUGAUGACCAGCCAAACCAUGGACCUGAAACUUUAAACACAGUGGAAAUGGAGUGUGGUGAGAAGGAGUCGAAGAAGUUGGAUAAUUGUGUUGACCAGCCGAAUCAUGGACCUGAAACUUUAAACACAGAGGAAAUGGAGUGUGGUGAGAAGGAGCCGAAGAAGUUGGAUAAUUGUGGUGACCAGCCGAAUCAUGGACCUGAAACUUUAAACACAGAGGAAAUGGAGUGUGGUGAGAAGGAGCCGAAGAAGUUGGAUAAUUGUGAUGACCAGCCGAAUCAUGGACCUGAAACUUUAAACACAGAGGAAAUGGAGUGUGGUGAGAAGGUGCUGAAGAAGUUGAAUAAUUGUGGUGACCAGCCAAAUCAUGCACUUGAAACUUUAAACACAGAGGAAAUGGAGUGUGGUGAGAAGGAGCCGAAGAAGUUGGAUAAUUGUGGUGACCAGCCAAAUAAUGCACCUGAAACUUUAAACACGGAGGAAAUGGAGUGUGGUGAGAAGGAGCCGAAGAAGGUGAAUAAUUGUGGUGACCAGCCAAAUAAUGCACCUGAAACUUUAAACACAGAGGAAAUGGAGUGUGGUGGGAAGGAGCCGAAGAAGGUGAAUAAUUGUGAUGACCAACCCGAUGUAAGGAUUGACGUGAAGGAAGAUGAUAUGCUGUCAGAAGUUUCAAAUCCAAAUUUGUCUCCAAG
Molecule: long non-coding RNA, 852 nt
Filed under: Capsicum annuum
Lineage: Eukaryota; Viridiplantae; Streptophyta; Magnoliopsida; Solanales; Solanaceae
Description: long non-coding RNA (CANN_LNC016302)
Source: RNAcentral